RNAcentral lists this ribosomal RNA (559 nucleotides) under uncultured Glomus. RNAcentral describes it as "SSU rRNA". It matches the Rfam family "Eukaryotic small subunit ribosomal RNA", at positions 546 to 1106 of the family's 1831-position model. Lineage: Eukaryota; Fungi; Glomeromycota; Glomeromycetes; Glomerales; Glomeraceae. The record is from RNAcentral.
AAUUGGAGGGCAAGUCUGGUGCCAGCAGCCGCGGUAAUUCCAGCUCCAAUAGCGUAUAUUAAAGUUGUUGCAGUUAAAAAGCUCGUAGUUGAAUUUCGGGAUCAGCAGGUUGGUCGUGCCAAUGGUAUGAACUGGCCUUGCUGAUUCCUCCCUCUUGAUGAGCCGUAAUGCCAUUAAUUUGGUGUUGCGGGGAAUCAGGACUGUUACUUUGAAAAAAUUAGAGUGUUUAAAGCAGGCAAGCGCUUGAAUACAUUAGCAUGGAAUAAUGAAAUAGGACGUUCGAUCCUAUUUUGUUGGUUUCUAGGAUUGACGUAAUGAUUAAUAGGGAUAGUUGGGGGCAUUAGUAUUCAAUUGUCAGAGGUGAAAUUCUUGGAUUUAUUGAAGACUAACUACUGCGAAAGCAUUUGCCAAGGAUGUUUUCAUUAAUCAAGAACGAAAGUUAGGGGAUCGAAGACGAUCAGAUACCGUCGUAGUCUUAACCAUAAACUAUGCCGACUAGGGAUCGGAUGAUGUUAAUUUUUUAAUGACUCAUUCGGCGCCUUACGGGAAACCAAAGUGU